AGAGUUUGAUCAUGGCUCAGAUUGAACGCUGGCGGCAGGCCUAACACAUGCAAGUCGAGCGGUAGCACAGAGAGCUUGCUCUCGGGUGACGAGCGGCGGACGGGUGAGUAAUGUCUGGGAAACUGCCUGAUGGAGGGGGAUAACUACUGGAAACGGUAGCUAAUACCGCAUAAUGUCGCAAGACCAAAGUGGGGGACCUUCGGGCCUCAUGCCAUCAGAUGUGCCCAGAUGGGAUUAGCUUGUAGGUGGGGUAACGGCUCACCUAGGCGACGAUCCCUAGCUGGUCUGAGAGGAUGACCAGCCACACUGGAACUGAGACACGGUCCAGACUCCUACGGGAGGCAGCAGUGGGGAAUAUUGCACAAUGGGCGCAAGCCUGAUGCAGCCAUGCCGCGUGUGUGAAGAAGGCCUUCGGGUUGUAAAGCACUUUCAGCGGGGAGGAAGGCGAUAAGGUUAAUAACCUUGUCGAUUGACGUUACCCGCAGAAGAAGCACCGGCUAACUCCGUGCCAGCAGCCGCGGUAAUACGGAGGGUGCAAGCGUUAAUCGGAAUUACUGGGCGUAAAGCGCACGCAGGCGGUCUGUCAAGUCGGAUGUGAAAUCCCCGGGCUUAACCUGGGAACUGCAUUCGAAACUGGCAGGCUAGAGUCUUGUAGAGGGGGGUAGAAUUCCAGGUGUAGCGGUGAAAUGCGUAGAGAUCUGGAGGAAUACCGGUGGCGAAGGCGGCCCCCUGGACAAAGACUGACGCUCAGGUGCGAAAGCGUGGGGAGCAAACAGGAUUAGAUACCCUGGUAGUCCACGCCGUAAACGAUGUCGAUUUGGAGGUUGUGCCCUUGAGGCGUGGCUUCCGGAGCUAACGCGUUAAAUCGACCGCCUGGGGAGUACGGCCGCAAGGUUAAAACUCAAAUGAAUUGACGGGGGCCCGCACAAGCGGUGGAGCAUGUGGUUUAAUUCGAUGCAACGCGAAGAACCUUACCUGGUCUUGACAUCCACAGAACUUAGCAGAGAUGCUUUGGUGCCUUCGGGAACUGUGAGACAGGUGCUGCAUGGCUGUCGUCAGCUCGUGUUGUGAAAUGUUGGGUUAAGUCCCGCAACGAGCGCAACCCUUAUCCUUUGUUGCCAGCGGUUCGGCCGGGAACUCAAAGGAGACUGCCAGUGAUAAACUGGAGGAAGGUGGGGAUGACGUCAAGUCAUCAUGGCCCUUACGACCAGGGCUACACACGUGCUACAAUGGCAUAUACAAAGAGAAGCGACCUCGCGAGAGCAAGCGGACCUCAUAAAGUAUGUCGUAGUCCGGAUUGGAGUCUGCAACUCGACUCCAUGAAGUCGGAAUCGCUAGUAAUCGUAGAUCAGAAUGCUACGGUGAAUACGUUCCCGGGCCUUGUACACACCGCCCGUCACACCAUGGGAGUGGGUUGCAAAAGAAGUAGGUAGCUUAACCUUCGGGAGGGCGCUUACCACUUUGUGAUUCAUGACUGGGGUGAAGUCGUAACAAGGUAACCGUAGGGGAACCUGCGGUUGGAUCACCU
RNAcentral lists this ribosomal RNA (1528 nucleotides) under Klebsiella pneumoniae. RNAcentral's name for it is "bacterial SSU rRNA". It matches the Rfam family "Bacterial small subunit ribosomal RNA". Lineage: Bacteria; Pseudomonadati; Pseudomonadota; Gammaproteobacteria; Enterobacterales; Enterobacteriaceae. The record is from RNAcentral.